This 433-nucleotide ribosomal RNA is filed under the name uncultured bacterium. Its description in RNAcentral is "partial 16S ribosomal RNA". It matches the Rfam family "Bacterial small subunit ribosomal RNA", at positions 29 to 507 of the family's 1533-position model. The record is from RNAcentral.
AACGAACGCUGGCGGCAGGCCUAACACAUGCAAGUCGAGCGAGGACUUCGGUCCUAGCGGCGGACGGGUGGGUAACGCGUGGGAACGUGCCCUUUGCUUCGGAAUAGCCCUGGGAAACUGGGAGUAAUACCGGAUGAGCCCUUUGGGGGAAAGAUUUAUCGGCGAAGGAUCGGCCCGCGUUGGAUUCGGUAGUUGGUGGGGUAAUGGCCUACCAACCCGACGAUCCAUAGCUGGUUUGAGAGGAUGAUCAGCCACACUGGGACUGAGACACGGCCCAGACUCCGACGGGAGGCAGCAGUGGGGAAUCUUAGACAAUGGGGGAAACCCUGAUCUAGCCAUGCCGCGUGAGCGAUGAAGGCCGUAGGGUUGUAAAGCUCUUUCAGCUGGGAAGAUAAUGACGGUACCAGCAGAAGAAGCCCCGGCUAACUCCGUG